AGUAGCGGCGAGCGAACAGGGAAGAGUCCAGCACCGAACCCCGCAGGCUGCCGCCUGUCGUGGCAUGUGGUGUUUGGGAGGGUCCACUACCCCGACGCCUCGCGCCGAGUCCAAGUCCAACUUGAAUGAGGCCACGGCCCGUAGAGGGUGCCAGGCCCGUAGCGGCCGGUGCGAGCGUCGGCGGGACCUCUCCUUCGAGUCGGGUUGCUUGAGAGUGCAGCUCCAAGUGGGUGGUAAACUCCAUCUGAGACUAAAUAUGACCACGAGACCGAUAGCGAACAAGUACCGUGAGGGAAAGUUGAAAAGAACUUUGAAGAGAGAGUUCAAAAGUACGUGAAACCGUUCUGGGGUAAACGUGAGAAGUCCGAAAGGUCGAACGGGCGAGAUUCACGCCCAUCCGGCCACUGGCCCCCGCCCUCGGCAGAUGGGGCCGGCCGCCCGCGCGGAGCAAUCCGCGGCGGGGUCGUGUCCGGUUGCCUUUCCACUCGCCGCGGGGCGGGGCCGUUCCAGUGUGCGGUGGGCCGCACUUCUCCCCUAGUAGGACGUCGCGACCCGCUGGGUGUCGGCCUACGGCCCGGGUGCGCAGCCUGUCCUCCCGUGGACCUCGGUUCGCGUCUGUUGGGCAGAGCCCCGGUGUCCCGGCUGGCUGCUCGGCGGUACAUCUCGAGGAGUCGAUUCGCCCAGUUUGGGCGCCCGGGCUCCCGGCAAGCGCGCGCGGUUCUUCCCGGAUGACGGACCUACCUGGCCCGGCCCCGGACCCGCGCCGCUGUUGGCUCGGGAUGCUCUCGGGCGGAAUAAUCGCUCCCGUCAGCGGCGCUUCAGCUUUGGACAAUUUCACGACCCGUCUUGAAACACGGACCAAGGAGUCUAACAUGUGCGCGAGUCAUUGGGCUGUACGAAGCCUAAAGGCGCAAUGAAAGUGAAGGUCUCGCCUUGCGCGGGCCGAGGGAGGAUGGGGCUUCCCCGCCCUUCACGGGGCGGCGGCCUCCGCACUCCCGGGGCGUCUCGUCCUCAUUGCGAGGUGAGGCGCACCUAGAGCGUACACGUU
RNAcentral lists this ribosomal RNA (1048 nucleotides) under Arminda lancerottensis. RNAcentral describes it as "eukaryotic LSU rRNA". It matches the Rfam family "Eukaryotic large subunit ribosomal RNA", at positions 82 to 810 of the family's 3401-position model. The record is from RNAcentral. Lineage: Eukaryota; Metazoa; Arthropoda; Insecta; Orthoptera; Acrididae.